AGAUGAAGAGGAAAAAAAAAUUAUAAUUGUGAUUGCAGUCGAUAAAAGUAAUGGUAAAUGCUCUUAAUAUGAAUAGUAAAACUAAUGAUCUUCUCUUGUAUUUUGCUGUUACAAUAUACGAGGAAUAUGUUGAAUGCUUUUUUGAUAAAAGAGUUAAGUACUAAUUUUGACAAAGUAAUGUGCAUAUGAGAUACAUCACAUAGAUUGUUGGAUUGCCUUCGAUACUAGAAAAAUAACCCAAGCGGUCUAACCCCUAAAUGGACCCCAACUGAAAGGCAUUAGAUGGACUAACGGCAAGCGAGAUAAAGAAAGCCGCUGGCCCUGUGCGUAAAAACUUGCCGUGGGCACCUCUUUCUCAAAUUAGAAUAAAAAGAGUCUUUGGGCAAGAAAGAAAGAAACUGGGAGCAUCUUAUAGGUCUUCUUUUCGUGGAAUGGGUGGGAAAAAUUUAGUGUUCUGAUGUGAAAGGAUGAUAAUGCAAUAAUGGUGUCAUCCAUCUACAGAUGCUUCUUGUUUGUUCAUUCGUGUGACAUUUUCUUAUAAGAUCAUGUUUUAUUGGGAAACCUCUUAGAUGUUAUUUCCUUAUUAAAUUUUGAAUAAUCGGUAGUUUCUCGUUUGAUUGUAUGUUUUAAUUUAUAGGUUGAUGAAUAUAGAUAGCAGAUAUUACUGCAACAACAUAUGUAUUUUUUAAUUAUUUUAUAUUUUAGUAUGAUUUUCGAUAUCCAUAUGAUACUUCAUGAUUCACAUGCACCUUUACUACAAAACAUUGCUUUGAAAUUUCUUGUGUAGUCUUCUUCUUCUUUUAGUGCACAAUAAAAUUAGAGUAUGCAAUCUUUUACGCACUUUACGAGAAGGAAUAAAAUAGCUCUACAAUGAGCUAAAGAAUUGAUUUUCAUUCAUAGCAAUCUGCUUCCUUUAUCAAGAAAAUUAGAUCUAUAUUCGAAAGGAGAAUCCAAAAUAGGGAUAUUGUUGAAAACUCAUUUGAUACUCUUGACGGUGUUGAACUGUUUGAUAUUGUUAAUCUCUCAUUAGAUGAGUCAGAGUUGAAGGGUGUCAUUGUUAAUGAAAAUGAAAAGAAAAAAUUGACGUUGAAGAAAAUGAAGUUUGAACAAUUAAUGAUUAGGAUAAAGUGCAUUAAUAUUUUAUUUUAUUUUUAUUAUUCUGCUUCUGUAUUAAUUUUUUUAGUACUAAUAAAUUUAUGUUGAAUUUUAUAACACGUAUAGAUGUAUCCUAAUUUUUUCAAAAAAGUCGCAUCGACGUAUUCGUAUUGUAUCGUAUUCAAAUUAUGUAUUUGUAUCCGUGCUUCUUAGCUUACCGGUUCAACUAGUACUCAUCGAUCUGACAACACGAUGACUUUAUUCUUUGACCGGUCUAAUAGUUGGGACGAGUUUAAAAACUAUGCUUCAAACUACCCUUUUUGCAUGCGUGCAGUCCACAUGAAUCUUCAAGCUCUGAUACCAAACUGAUGAUAAAUAUGGUAGUUUACACUAACUAAAGUGGUAACCAGGUUUAAACAAACCUAAUUUAAGUAGGUAACCGAGGAAAUAAACUUAAUAUGUACAAAAAUUGGAAUUUAAGAAAUCCUAAUUAAUUUAAUUUCUUUUAUGCUUCAUGUAGACUUUAAACACUGCAUCAGGUUUCAUUUCGGAAAAGGAAAUGUGGCCAAUAGUUCUAGCCAACUAAUAAAAUGAGAAACAUCCAUAGAAUAUUGAAAAAGGAGGUUCCUUUAUAUUUUGAAUUUGUAUGAUUGUAUUUUGCUGUUACAAUAUACGAGGAAUAUGUUGAAUGCUUUUUUGAUAAAAGAGUUAAGUACUAAUUUUGACAAAGUAAUGUGCAUAUGAGAUACAUCACAUAGAUUGUUGGAUUGCCUUCGAUACUAGAAAAAUAACCCAAGCGGUCUAACCCCUAAAUGGACCCCAACUGAAAGGCAUUAGAUGGACUAACGGCAAGCGAGAUAAAGAAAGCCGCUGGCCCUGUGCGUAAAAACUUGCCGUGGGCACCUCUUUCUCAAAUUAGAAUAAAAAGAGUCUUUGGGCAAGAAAGAAAGAAACUGGGAGCAUCUUAUAGGUCUUCUUUUCGUGGAAUGGGUGGGAAAA
This 2094-nucleotide long non-coding RNA is filed under the name Olea europaea (common olive). RNAcentral describes it as "long non-coding RNA (OEUR_LNC004185)". Lineage: Eukaryota; Viridiplantae; Streptophyta; Magnoliopsida; Lamiales; Oleaceae. The record is from RNAcentral.